UUUCCCAACUUUCCCCUUGUAUUGUGUUGUAAGGAGAUUUGAAUUUACCCGCGCCAUGACGUGACUUGUCAGUGACUGGUGCGUGCGCAUUCGCUACUUUUGACACCAUCUGAUUAUCUGAAUUCGGACGAUCGGUGCAGUCGGGGGAAAACACUUGGUUUUAAACCUAAUGAAAUGGGCAGACUGUUUGAAAUCAGAAUAGACUUCUUCGACAGCACAGGUUUAAUGUAACUGAAGACAGGAACCUAAGUGAUACUCUCUGCAUCAGUUUUACGUCAUUUUAUCUGUCGCUAAACAUUGACAAUCAACCCUGAGGAAAGAAUGGUAAGAACAAGAUUAUACUUCCAACCAGACCUUUGGAUAGACCCCCAGGAAGAAAAGAAACUUGAAGAGGGUGGAAACCAUGUGACAGUCCAAUCAGGAAAGAAAGCAUGUUGCAUUGAUGAAGCGUUUCGAUUUUAAGUUUCAAAAUCAAAACACUCUGUUCAACUUACUGUCCUAGAUAGCUAGAUGUGUGAUUGUUAUCAUAGUCGUCAUUCCGGUAUUAAGUUAUUGUUGUCUUUGUUCAAGGUAUUUUAUCUCGCUUAUAAGUGACAUGUUUUUGAUAAACUUUUGAAAAUCUGUGUAAAUUGCAUCAUAUUCAAAUCAGUCUACUGAUAUAACUUUCAGACGUGUCAAAGAAUACUAUUUUAUUGCUGUUUUUUGUUGGUCUGCAACUAGCAUCAUACUGUUGAGUGAAUAAAUAAUAAUUUACCAAAUAUACAUUGCGUUGCCUUCAGGAAGUCAGAAGACCUCAGCGAGGCAACUGGCCAAUGUAAAUCUGUGUAAAUUGCAUCAGAUUCAAAUCAGUCUACUGUAAAAGUCAGACCCUUCAAAGUAGAUUAUUUAGUUGCUGUUUUUUGUUGGUACUGUUGAGUGAAUGAAUUACAAUUUACCAAAUGUAUAUUGUGUUGCCUUCAGGAAGUCAGAAGACCUCAGCGAGGCAACUGGCCAAUGUAAAUCUGUGUAAAUUGCAUCAGAUUCAAAUCAGUCUACUGUAAAAGUCAGACCCUUCAAAGUAGAUUAUUUAGUUGAUGUUUUUUGUUGGUACUGUUGAGUGAAUGAAUUACAAUUUACCAAAUGUAUAUUGUGUUGCCUUCAGGAAGUCAUAAGACCUCAGCGAGGCAACUGGCCAAUGUAAAUCUGUGUGAAUUGCAUCAGAUUCAAAUCACUAUACAAAUAUAACUUUCAGACAUGUCAAAGUAUACUAUUUUAUUGCUGUUUUUUGUUGGUCUGCAACUAGCAUCAUACUGUUGAGUGAAUAAAUUACAAUUUACCAAAUAUACAUUGCGUUGCCUUCAGGAAGUCGGAAGACCUCAGCGAGGCAACUGGCCAAUGUAAAUCGGUGUUAAUUGCAUCAGAUUCAAAUCAGUCGCCUGAUACAACAGUCAGAGUCAGACACAUCAAGUAAACUAUUAUUGUUGGGUUUUUUUGACACCCGCUGCAUGUAGUGUAUUGGUUAGUAAAUAAAUAAUUUAGCAAAUAUACAUACUA
This is a long non-coding RNA of Lineus longissimus, 1533 nucleotides long. RefSeq lists it as uncharacterized. The transcript is spliced from 3 exons. The record is from RefSeq and is a predicted model, not a curated record. NCBI's taxonomy places the organism in Eukaryota, Metazoa, Nemertea, Pilidiophora, Heteronemertea, Lineidae.